GGGAAUUCGAUUCAGGCCUAACACAUGCAAGUCGAGCGAUGAAGCACAUUCGGGUGUGGAUUAGCGGCGAACGAGUGAGGAACACGUGAGGAAUCUGCCUUCCACUCUGGGAUAACUCCGGGAAACCGGGGCUAAUACCGGAUACUUUCAACUGGCGGCAUCGCCGGUUGAAGAAAGUUUUUCGGUGGAAGAUGACCUCGCGGCCUAUCAGCUUGUUGGUGAGGUAAUGGCUCACCAAGGCAACGACGGGUAGCCGGCCUGAGAGGGCGACCGGCCACACUGGGACUGAGACACGGCCCAGACUCCUACGGGAGGCAGCAGUGGGGAAUAUUGGGCAAUAGAGGAAACUCUGACCCAGCGACGCCGCGUGAGGGAUAUAUACGGUCGGGUUGUAAACCUCUUCAGCAGGGAAUAAGCGAAAGGAA
RNAcentral lists this ribosomal RNA (425 nucleotides) under uncultured bacterium. RNAcentral's name for it is "bacterial SSU rRNA". It matches the Rfam family "Bacterial small subunit ribosomal RNA", at positions 39 to 458 of the family's 1533-position model. The record is from RNAcentral.